AUACAGAGGGCUCGAGCGUUAAUCGGAAUUACUGGGCUUAAAGGGUGCGUAGGCGGGCCUGCAAGUGCUUUGUGAAAUCCCACGGCUCAACCGUGGAACUGCUUGGUAGACUGCAGAUCUCGAGGUUGGUAGGGGCUGCCGGAACUCUAGGUGUAGCGGUGAAAUGCGUAGAUAUCUAGAGGAACACCAAAGGUGAAGACAGGCAGCUGGGCCAAUCCUGACGCUGAGGCACGAAAGCGUGGGUAGCGAACGGGAUUAGAAACCCCGGUAGUCC
RNAcentral lists this ribosomal RNA (274 nucleotides) under uncultured bacterium. RNAcentral describes it as "partial 16S ribosomal RNA". It matches the Rfam family "Bacterial small subunit ribosomal RNA", at positions 523 to 796 of the family's 1533-position model. The record is from RNAcentral.